Molecule: long non-coding RNA, 2386 nt
Organism: Brassica napus (rape)
Lineage: Eukaryota; Viridiplantae; Streptophyta; Magnoliopsida; Brassicales; Brassicaceae
Exons: 3
Source: RefSeq, a predicted model, not a curated record
CUAUUUUUUUAACUACUAUCCAUAUUGCCAAAUAAUCUCAUUUUGUACUUGAGUUUUAAUAAGAUAGAUUUCGGCAAAUAAGACUCACAAACAAUGAAACUUUGUUGUAGACUGAAUACAAAAAGUCUUACAAAGUUAUAAUGUAUACUCUAUAUGAUAUAUGUUUUGCAUAUAUCAAAUUGGUUUAAGAUUAGAACAAAAUUGAGAAGUCUUAAAUUAAACCGGAUUAAACCAUUUUAGCUAUAAACAGGUCUACGUAAGUAUAUAGAUGGUUUCAUUGUCCAAAUGUGAAAUAGUCAGAAUACUGAUUUUUUGUAAAAAAAAAUAAAGCUUUUUGUGUCAAAUAAAUUUUAACCGGUUUGGUUUGGUAUAUACAUAUAGCUAUUAUUAGGUGAUAAAAAAGAUUCACUUUCUAAAAUAAAUACUAUAAAUCUUAUACAAUAAAGUUGCCUUGUCUCUCUCCUCCUGCGUCCACGUCAUCAGGGAGAUAGGGGCUUUCCUCGCCACGUGUCGUUGCGCUGAUUGGUUUGUGUAAGUCACGCGUUUUGGUUUCGUUGGGUUUUCUAUAAUCUUCAUCGUCGAACCAGAGUAAUGGAAGCAGUACGAUUUUUGCUCUAGCCAUAAACUGAGCAUUUAAUCUCAGUUAAUUCUUCCCCCACGACUUCUCAUUUCACUAGAUCCUUCGAUCUCUUCAGAUUUUUCAUGGAUUGGAUCCUAUAAUUAGGCGUUCCUUGCUUCGCGAAAGAAAGCUCAGUGGGCGAUGAAGUGGAUCGACGGAUCUCAGACCUUCGCGGAGAGGAGCAUCGCCUUCGCCUGCGCAUAAGGGAUCUUCUUCUCCGGUAGCUUCUGCUCGAUCUUCUGGCUCAAGAAACGAGGGCUUAUGCCUGGUUUGACCUUCUCCAACGAGUUGAUCUCUCGAGACGAUGGCUUUGCACUGCGUGAAGUCGAUCGUCUGGUUUCGCCUGCCUGAUCUACACCCUCUUGAGGACGAAUCUCAUGGACGAAUCUCUCUUCAGGGUAAAACAAACUUCUUCGAGAAGAGAGUUCGUGAUUACCAGAAGGCUUGUGUUAUGUCGAGCGUUAAUGGAGGCGGCGCGUUUGAUAAUCAUGUGCUCUCUCUCAACAAAGACUUUUAGAUUUGAUAUUUUUUUUAGACUAAUGGAUGCACAAGAUCAAAACCCAUGAAAUUUAGUUAAUUAUGUAUUGCCACAGCUCUCCAACUCUACUCACUUUGCAAUUUAUCAUCAAUAUUAACAGCCUCUGGCGACAUGUAUGCACAACUUUUAGCAAAGGAAGAUGGCUAUUAAUCUGUAAAUAACAGAAUCGUGGCUACAAUAUCAGUUGCUUCCAUUAACAACUCGCCCUCACUUGAUUCUUAGCGGCAUCAGAGUCUCUACCACUUGUCUCCAGACCUCAUUCUUCUCUUAUUAUUUUCAAUAACAGAGGUUUGUUGUUUGAUCUCUAUUUCAAAAGGUCUUCUUGAAACCAUAUCAAUCCAUCUGUGGGCCAACGUUGAGAAAUUUGACAGUCUGCAUAAGCCUAAUACAAAUACAGUCGGCAUUGCAUUGUAAGUUAACAACUCCAUAUCUGGGCCAACAUUGAGAGUUUUUACUGUCUGCGUAGGUCAACAGUCAACACUAAUAGAUUCUCUCUAUCAUAUGGUUGAGAGAUAUAAAUGAGAAUUAGGUCAACAAGCCUAAGAAGCAAAUUUGUUUCUGAGUUUAUCUUAGUCGUUUCGUAUAACCUUCACAUAGUUGUGCCUUUCCUCCACUUUCCGGCGAUGAAUGAUUGGGUGUCAAUGGUGGAAUUCACUUAAAGCUACUCAUCACUUCCUCAACCUUUCAGCUUUCCUGCGUUUUUUGACCCGUUUAUUUUAUUAUAUAUACGAACAGAUGUGAGGACCCCGAAGAUUUGGUCGUCUCGCAAUCAAUCUUUUCUUACAAACUAUCUGUAAAAGCAGGUACCAUAAUGACCAAUUCUCAACUUCCUCUCUCUCAGUUGAAGGCUGGUCGUUCUAGGACGACGGCUGUCAGACGGCUUCUCUAUUUUUGGGAAGCUCGGGAUGUGAAGAAAGUAAUAGAACUUAUGGAGAUUGAUACAGUUCUGGUAGAUGAGGAGGAGUUGCUUCUCCAUUGUAUUUGUCUUUUCUGUAACUGUUUUCAAAAUUAUUUUUGUUUGCUAACGCUUCAUUGUUUCUAAAUGGUUUGCAGUCUGAUCCAGGGAUCUAGCAUACACCCCUUAAACGCAUUCCACCACUUACUCAGAGAGGGGUCUGUAUGAGCUCUGCAUUUGAUGUUACCAGGAAUUAAAUAUUUGUAUUGUACACUCCCAUGGUUGACUUAUACAAUUUGUUCACCUUUUGCUAAAUUAAUUUUAAGUUUCUCUU